Molecule: unclassified non-coding RNA, 373 nt
Filed under: uncultured Gammaproteobacteria bacterium
Lineage: Bacteria; Pseudomonadati; Pseudomonadota; Gammaproteobacteria
Description: contains 16S-23S intergenic spacer region
Source: RNAcentral
UCGCGGCUUAUCACCGGCAGUCUCCCUAGAGUGCCCUUGCGUAGCAACUAGGGACAAGGGUUGCGCUCGUUGCGGGACUUAACCCAACAUCUCACGACACGAGCUGACGACAGCCAUGCAGCACCUGUGUUCCGAUUCCCUUUCAGGCACACCCACCUUUCGGCAGGCUUCCGGACAUGUCAAGGGUAGGUAAGGUUGUUCGCGUUGCAUCGAAUUAAUCCACAUCAUCCACCGCUUGUGCGGGUCCCCGUCAAUUCCUUUGAGUUUUAACCUUGCGGCCGUACUCCCCAGGCGGUCAACUUCACGCGUUAGCUUCGGUACUGAGAAAUCGCUUCCCCAACACCUAGUUGACAUCGUUUAGGGCGUGGACUAC